GCUGCUGCUCCUCGGGCUGCUGCUGCUCGGCUCCCGGCCGGCCCGCGGCGCCGGCCCCGAGCCCCCCGUGCUGCCCAUCCGUUCUGAGAAGGAGCCGCUGCCCGUUCGGGGAGCGGCAGGCUGCUCCUUCGGCGGGAAGGUCUAUGCCUUGGACGAGACGUGGCACCCGGACCUAGGGGAGCCCUUCGGGGUGAUGCGCUGCGUGCUGUGCGCCUGUGAGGCGGUGAGUGCACCCCGCGGCCGGCCCGGGCCCUGGCGGGUGGGGAGCGCCGGGUCGCGCCGGCGUCGGAGUGGAUUCGGAGCUGCUGAGAAGGAGCCCAGUCGGCAGAUGUUGGGGAUAUUUUUCUGGUGGAGGAAGGGGAAUCAGCCCCUUCAAUUCUUAGGUGCUGUUACUGAUCGCCCACUCUGUGUGAGGCUCUGUGUCAACUCCGUUUCGUUCCCUGCUCAUCUAACUCUCAUGGCAGCCUUGCUAGAUAGAGAGUAUUAUUAUCCCCAUUUUCCAGACAGGGACCUUGAGGCCCAGAGAGAUGAAGUAGCUUGUCUAGGGUCACGCAGCUUGUAAGUGGCAGAGCUGGCUGACUCUGCGGG
RNAcentral lists this small RNA (588 nucleotides) under Pan troglodytes (chimpanzee). RNAcentral describes it as "retained intron". The record is from RNAcentral. Lineage: Eukaryota; Metazoa; Chordata; Mammalia; Primates; Hominidae.